This 443-nucleotide ribosomal RNA is filed under the name uncultured bacterium. Its description in RNAcentral is "partial 16S ribosomal RNA". It matches the Rfam family "Bacterial small subunit ribosomal RNA", at positions 338 to 795 of the family's 1533-position model. The record is from RNAcentral.
CCUACGGGAGGCAGCAGUGGGGAAUAUUGGGCAAUGGAGGAAACUCUGACCCAGCAACGCCGCGUGAAUGAUGAAGGUCUUCGGAUUGUAAAGUUCUUUUCUAAGGGAAGAAGAAAGUGACGGUACCUUAGGAAUAAGCCUCGGCUAACUACGUGCCAGCAGCCGCGGUAAUACGUAGGAGGCGAGCGUUAUCCGGAAUGACUGGGCGUAAAGGGUGCGUAGGUGGUUUGGCAAGUUAGUAGCGUAACUCCAAGGCUCAACCUUGGAACUACUACUAAAACUGUUGGACUUGAGUGCAGGAGGGGCAACCGGAAUUCCUAGUGUAGCGGUGGAAUGCGUAGAUAUUAGGAGGAACACCAGUGGCGAAGGCGACUAUCUGGCACAUAACUGACGCUGAGGAGCGAAAGCGUGGGUAGCAAACAGGAUUAGAUACCCGUGUAGUC